Molecule: ribosomal RNA, 253 nt
Filed under: uncultured bacterium
Lineage: Bacteria
Description: partial 16S ribosomal RNA
Rfam family: Bacterial small subunit ribosomal RNA
Source: RNAcentral
UACAGAGGUCCCAAGCGUUGUUCGGAUUCACUGGGCGUAAAGGGCGCGUAGGCGGUCGGGUAAGUCUGAUGUGAAAUCUCACAGCUUAACUGUGAAACUGCAUUGGAUACUAUCCGGCUCGAGGAAUGGAGGGGAGACUGGAAUACUUGGUGUAGCAGUGAAAUGCGUAGAUAUCAAGUGGAACACCAGUGGCGAAGGCGAGUCUCUGGACAUUUACUGACGCUGAGGCACGAAAGCCAGGGGAGCAAACGGG